ACUGAACGCUGGCGGAACGCUUUACACAUGCAAGUCGAACGGCAGCACGGACUUCGGUCUGGUGGCGAGUGGCGAACGGGUGAGUAAUACAUCGGAACGUGCCCAGUCGUGGGGGAUAACGUAGCGAAAGCUACGCUAAUACCGCAUACGAUCUAAGGAUGAAAGCGGGGGAUCGCAAGACCUCGUGCGAUUGGAGCGGCCGAUGGCAGAUUAGGUAGUUGGUAGGGUAAAGGCCUACCAAGCCGACGAUCUGUAGCUGGUCUGAGAGGAUGAUCCGCCACACUGGGACUGAGACACGGCCCAGACUCCUAAGGGAGGCAGCAGUGGGGAAUUUUGGACAAUGGGCGCAAGCCUGAUCCAGCCAUUCCGCGUGCAGGAUGAAGGCCUUCGGGUUGUAAACUGCUUUUGUACAGAACGAAAAGGCUCUGGUUAAUACCCGGGGCUCAUGACGGUACUGUAAGAAUAAGCACCGGCUAACUACGUGCCAGCAGCCGCCGUAA
This 500-nucleotide ribosomal RNA is filed under the name uncultured bacterium. RNAcentral describes it as "partial 16S ribosomal RNA". It matches the Rfam family "Bacterial small subunit ribosomal RNA", at positions 30 to 523 of the family's 1533-position model. The record is from RNAcentral.